UACGAAGGGGGCUAGCGUUGUUCGGAUUUACUGGGCGUAAAGCGCACGUAGGCGGAUCGUUAAGUCGGGGGUGAAAUCCUGGAGCUCAACUCCAGAACUGCCUUCGAUACUGGCGACCUCGAGUCCGGAAGAGGUGAGUGGAACUCCUAGUGUAGAGGUGGAAUUCGUAGAUAUUAGGAAGAACACCAGUGGCGAAGGCGGCUCACUGGUCCGGUACUGACGCUGAGGUGCGAAAGCUAGGGGAGCGAACAGG
Molecule: ribosomal RNA, 253 nt
Filed under: uncultured bacterium
Lineage: Bacteria
Description: partial 16S ribosomal RNA
Rfam family: Bacterial small subunit ribosomal RNA
Source: RNAcentral